UACGUAGGUGGCAAGCGUUGUCCGGAAUUGUUGGGCGUAAAGCGCGCGCAGGCGGUCUUUUAAGUCUGAUGUGAAAGCCCCCGGCUCAACCGGGGAGGGUCAUUGGAAACUGGGAGACUUGAGUACAGAAGAGGAGAGUGGAAUUCCACGUGUAGCGGUGAAAUGCGUAGAUAUGUGGAGGAACACCAGUGGCGAAGGCGACUCUCUGGUCUGUAACUGACGCUGAGGCGCGACAGCGUGGGGCGCGCCCAGG
This 253-nucleotide unclassified non-coding RNA is filed under the name uncultured Bacillaceae bacterium. Its description in RNAcentral is "contains 16S-23S intergenic spacer region". It matches the Rfam family "Bacterial small subunit ribosomal RNA", at positions 524 to 776 of the family's 1533-position model. Lineage: Bacteria; Bacillati; Bacillota; Bacilli; Caryophanales; Bacillaceae. The record is from RNAcentral.